AACGCACCUUGCGCUCCCUGGUAUUCCGGGGAGCAUGUCUGUUUGAGUGUCAUGAACUCUUCAACCCACCGGUUUCUUGUAUUCCGGCUGGUGUUUGGUUUCUGAGCGUCUGCUCGUCCUUUGUGACUGAGCUCGUUCGUAAUAUAUGAGCAUCUCUAAUUCGAAUUCGGAUUGACUCAGUGUAAUAGACUAUUCGCUGAGGACACACUUUACAGUGUGGCCGAACAAGAUAAUUGUAGAAGCUUCCAACCCUUCUAGUCAUUUUAAGAUUAGACCUCAGAUCAGAUAGGACUACCCGCUGAACUUAA
Molecule: unclassified non-coding RNA, 308 nt
Filed under: uncultured fungus
Lineage: Eukaryota; Fungi
Description: partial contains 5.8S ribosomal RNA, internal transcribed spacer 2, and large subunit ribosomal RNA
Rfam family: 5.8S ribosomal RNA (bases 1-52)
Source: RNAcentral